GAUGAAGAACGUAGCGAAAUGCGAUAAGUAAUGUGAAUUGCAGAAUUCAGUGAAUCAUCGAAUCUUUGAACGCACAUUGCGCCCCUUGGUAUUCCGAGGGGCAUGCCUGUUCGAGCGUCAUUAUAACCCUCAAGCUCAGCUUGGUGUUGGGGCCUGCUGCACUGGCAGCCCUUAAAAUCAGUGGCGGCGCCAUCUGGCUCUAAGCGUAGUAAUUCUUCUCGCUAUGGAGUCCUGGAGGAUGCUUGCCAUCAACCCCCAAUUUUUCUAUGGUUGACCUCGGAUCAGGUAGGGAUACCCGCUGAACUUAAGCAUAUCAAUAAGCGGAGGA
RNAcentral lists this unclassified non-coding RNA (328 nucleotides) under soil metagenome. RNAcentral's name for it is "partial contains 5.8S ribosomal RNA, internal transcribed spacer 2, and large subunit ribosomal RNA". The stretch from base 1 to 120 matches the Rfam family "5.8S ribosomal RNA", at positions 35 to 154 of the family's 154-position model. The record is from RNAcentral.